RNAcentral lists this unclassified non-coding RNA (574 nucleotides) under Meyerozyma guilliermondii. Its description in RNAcentral is "sequence contains 18S rRNA gene, ITS1, 5.8S rRNA gene, ITS2, 28S rRNA gene". The stretch from base 213 to 366 matches the Rfam family "5.8S ribosomal RNA". Lineage: Eukaryota; Fungi; Ascomycota; Pichiomycetes; Serinales; Debaryomycetaceae. The record is from RNAcentral.
UCGUAACAAGGUUUCCGUAGGUGAACCUGCGGAAGGAUCAUUACAGUAUUCUUUUGCCAGCGCUUAACUGCGCGGCGAAAAACCUUACACACAGUGUCUUUUUGAUACAGAACUCUUGCUUUGGUUUGGCCUAGAGAUAGGUUGGGCCAGAGGUUUAACAAAACACAAUUUAAUUAUUUUUACAGUUAGUCAAAUUUUGAAUUAAUCUUCAAAACUUUCAACAACGGAUCUCUUGGUUCUCGCAUCGAUGAAGAACGCAGCGAAAUGCGAUAAGUAAUAUGAAUUGCAGAUUUUCGUGAAUCAUCGAAUCUUUGAACGCACAUUGCGCCCUCUGGUAUUCCAGAGGGCAUGCCUGUUUGAGCGUCAUUUCUCUCUCAAACCCCCGGGUUUGGUAUUGAGUGAUACUCUUAGUCGGACUAGGCGUUUGCUUGAAAAGUAUUGGCAUGGGUAGUACUAGAUAGUGCUGUCGACCUCUCAAUGUAUUAGGUUUAUCCAACUCGUUGAAUGGUGUGGCGGGAUAUUUCUGGUAUUGUUGGCCCGGCCUUACAACAACCAAACAAGUUGACCUCAAAUC